Molecule: ribosomal RNA, 163 nt
Filed under: uncultured bacterium
Lineage: Bacteria
Description: partial 16S rRNA
Rfam family: Bacterial small subunit ribosomal RNA
Source: RNAcentral
UAGGGAAUCUUCCACAAUGGGCGAAAGCCCGAUGGAGCAACGCCGCGUGUGUGAUGAAGGGUUUCGGCUCGUAAACACUGUUGUAAGAGAAGAAUGACAUUGAGAGUAACUGUUCAAUGUGUGACGGUAUCUUACCAGAAAGGAACGGCUAAAUACGUGCCAG